ACUAGUAAAAAUCUUUAUUGUUAAUUUUUUUCCCUCCAACAUAUGAUAUAAUUUUAGUCCAAAUAUGGAGCCACAGCAACACCUUUGCUUCUGCUCAAAUGACAAGACAGAUUGGGGUCGUCACUGUUCCGAGAGGGAGGCCGAGACCUCGGCAAGGGUGGACUGGGGCAGAGCGCGCACCACAGGCCAGGACUCGGAGCCUUUAUGGGAGCUACAGGUACAGAGAGAGGGCAAACAGCAACACGGCACCGGCGCCUGGUGACAGAUGUCACAACCUGGGGGAGAAGGGCUGGAAAAAGCUUUUUCCCCAGGGGCUCAGCUGGAGCUACAGGACAGAGCCAGGAGUGAGUGUGUCUGUGGGGGCACAUGCGCACGUGUGCCUGCACACACGGACCACCUCUCCCAGAAGACAACGCUCUUCAGGCCCCUGCUGGAGUCCCCACAGUCCUUGUUCCUUGGGGAUCAACGGUCUUUGCAGGUUAACCUGAGCAGGUCAGCUAAGCAGGGCUGGGGGCCCAUGUGUGGAGGUCAUGGCCAUCUAAACUGUGACCUUCUGGUGCAAGGCCCAGGCAAUGCUCAGAGGACAGCAUGAACCGCCCACACAGUUCCAGGGCAGCUCCAGUGAUCCAUGACCGCCCCAGCCCUGAGAAGGGGGAAAUUUGGCUCAAGAAUCUUCUCCUGGCUCUGGGCACCUGGGGCAUUUACUAUCUCAGGAGGAGGGUGGAGGCUCCCCGUCCUCCUGAGGCCGGCAUCUUCCUCCACUCCCCACCCAGGGUCCACUCUGGUGAAAGAUAACAGGGAGGAGGGGGGGCUAUCCCCAAGGGCAGAAGGGGGGGCAGGUGAGAAGACCUGGGGUUCUCUUCCAGCCCUUUACAUACGGCUGCUCUGCAGUGUGUUUCUGGGGACUGGGUUGAGGGCCAGCCUGAUGGGACCUGCUCAGCGAAGGUCCCAGUUGGCACUUCGUAAAUAAACGACGACUCUGUCCACUGCAGGCUGACAUGAGAGAGACCCUUCUGAAGGCAGUGCAGUGAGGGGCACGGGUCUGGGCUCUGAGAGAACCCGGAGUGCUGGCCAGGGCCUACAGCCCAGCAGCAGGUGCCUUGAGAGCCUGGCUGGCAGAGGUCGGGGCUGGGUAUUUAGAGCCAAAGGCCUCUAGGGCCUUGUGAGCCAAGCUGGGGCCUCUGUGAGGGUUCUAGGUUCCCAGGCAGAGACCUCUGCUCCACUGUGGGGUCUCCCGGCUGGGAGCAGCUCCCGCCCUUUACCCAGGGAGCCCUGGAUGAGGCUUCAGGAAGCAGAGAUGGGGUGAAUGGCUGGAGAGCCAGAGCCGCCCAGUGCACUGCUCCUCUGCUCAGCAGGGGCAGGCCAGAGAGGCCCUGCCGGCGCUCCAGCACUUCCAUUCCCCCGAUGGGGAGCUGGCUGCUGGCCAACUCAUGGAACUGAUGCACAUAAAUCCUGCCUAAUGAUCACCUCUAAGCUCUGCCCGGCUGGUCCAGGACAGCACAAACCUCCUUGGGGGCUCUGUUUUCCAGCUGUAGACCAUGCACGGGGUCUUGAAGGGUCCCCUUGCCAGUGGAGCCAGGUGUGGUCACUAAAACAAAUGCACAUUGCAGGUGGACUGAGCCCCCUAAGGUGGGGGGGAGCCCAUGGCAACGGGAGUCAUGGAGGAGCCAAUGAGAAACCGAACACACAUCUCAGAAGCCAAUCAAAUGCAAACACAAACAUGUGAAAGUAGCAAGCUCUUUGUGUAAUAAAUAUUGCAAAGCGCACUUGGUUUCUUUCUUUUUUUUUUUUUUCUUUUCAAGUCAAAUAUAACAACCAAUGUCCCAAACCCUGUUUUCAGCAUUCAAAAGAGAGAAGCUGGUGCUACCAGCAGAACACCUGCAGCCAAUCACAGAAAAAAAAAAAAAAGUUUCCCACUAGCUGGCCAAUCAGAAUCCUUUUCCAGUUUAAGCAGCCAAUCGGGCCUCUUCACAUUCCUAAAAAGUGACCUAAAUAAAGCACCAGAUCUCGGAGAGCUUCCUGGGAAGCCAUCUACCGAGGCGCAAAUUAAAAAAAAAAAAAAAGGAAAAAGGAAAAAGGAAAAGAAAAGAAAUAAAAAUAAA
This 2102-nucleotide long non-coding RNA is filed under the name Canis lupus familiaris (dog). RNAcentral's name for it is "lncRNA (ENSCAFG00845029115.1)". Lineage: Eukaryota; Metazoa; Chordata; Mammalia; Carnivora; Canidae. The record is from RNAcentral.